This is a long non-coding RNA of Apodemus sylvaticus (European woodmouse), 1623 nucleotides long. RefSeq lists it as uncharacterized. The transcript has 2 exons. NCBI's taxonomy places the organism in Eukaryota, Metazoa, Chordata, Mammalia, Rodentia, Muridae. The record is from RefSeq and is a predicted model, not a curated record.
AGGCCAGGCUUCCCCAGGGACCUGUGAGCAGAGGCCGGGCUGCAGCACAACGUCAGCCCAGCAUCCAGGACAUCAGCUACCAAGACGGGAAGCCAGAGAGGGCUGGGGACCACGGGGCCCUGCCGAGAUCUGGAGAAGGAACUGGUGGUCUGGUGAGGAGCUCCAGGAGGGAACAGCCAGGGCAAGGCCCUGAGGUAGAGGCUCCACAUGCAGAGAGAAAGCUAUGGAGGCCGGCUGCUCCAGCUUGGGUGAACUUAAGGGCCACCGGAAGGAAACUGGAUUUUGUCCCCAAUACAACCUGAACAGAUGUCUGGAGGGUGGGGUGAGGAUAUCUCUAUAGCCUGGGCUGACUUGGAAUUCAACAUGUAACUGAGGAAGACUUUGAAUUGUUGACCCUCUUGCCUCCUGGGAUUACAAAUUUGUGCCCAGUUUAUGCAAUGGCCUAGGAUGGCCCCUAGGACCUCCUAACUGAGCCACACCCAGCUCUCUGCUGGCUUUUUACGGGCUCAAGGAGAAGCCAAUCAGAUCUCACAUGUGAGGGGCACACUGCAGGAGGAUUGCAAGGUUGAGAGCCAGACCAGGCUAAGCUACCCGGAGCUGCUGACUGGCAGCUACAGGGCCCUAUAGGACCAGGGUCAGAGGGUAAGUGUGGAAAAGCGACCAAUGGCAAGGCAGGGAAGAGAAGGAACAGCAGGACCGCGGGGGCUUAUUGGACUUUGUAGAUGAAGAACCAGACAGUGCCUGGGAGGGCAAAGGCUGUGCCUGGGAGGGCAAAGGCUGCCCCUGGAGAUGCCGGGGUCAUUCACAGCACAGGAAGAAGAGAGAGUCAAAGGGGCUAUGCUGCGCUGCGUGAGCCAGAGGAGGUGUCCCCUUUGUUGUGAUACAGCUGUGGGGAUCUGCCCUAGCCUGUCCCCUGGAAGCCUAAUACCCCCAUCUGGGAAUCUAGUUCCAUUCCCUCCCACAGAGCACUAAGCAACAAGGCAGGUAGCUUUGUUUCCAGGCCACUGUGGAAAGUUGUCUGGGAGCAGGGCUGCGGGGUGCAGAGACUUCUGGCCCCAUCAUCUCAGCUAGAUGCUAGAGGAGACAGAAGGGAAGACGGAAGAGCAAGCUAGCGAGCGCGCGCUGUGGUGAGCACGCCUGAAUGCCUGAACCCAUCUCCAGUGCUGGUGUGGCAGGACCCUGGGCGGGGUCUGGAACUGGGUUCCGUUGCCUGUUCCAAUAUCAGCCUCAAAAGGAAAAAGAAAAUCUGCCUGCCUGUGUGAAGACUCUUCUUGGAGCACAACUUACACACAGCAGAGCAAAUCAAUUUUUAUGGAUUCUGCUCGAGGACUUGUGUUUUUUCGGAUGUUGCGGCAGGGCUCGCCAUGUCUAUAAACCCUGGAUCUGCACCCUGACCCCUGGGAUCAUUCCAUCUUACUGCUAGGUCCUGGCUACAGGUGCUGGGGGGACUCUCCUCCACUGUGGGGUUUUGUUUGUUUUUGUUUUAUCGGUUUUUUUGAGACAGGGUUUCUCUGUGUAGCCCUGGCUUUCCUGGAACUCACACUGUAGACCAGGCUGGCCUCGAACUCAGAAAUCCACCUGCCUCUGCCUCCCAAGUGCAUUAAAGGAGUACACCACCACUGC